Molecule: unclassified non-coding RNA, 371 nt
Filed under: fungal sp.
Lineage: Eukaryota; Fungi
Description: partial internal transcribed spacer region
Rfam family: Eukaryotic small subunit ribosomal RNA (bases 1-46)
Source: RNAcentral
AAGUCGUAACAAGGUUUCCGUAGGUGAACCUGCGGAAGGAUCAUUAACACGUAUCAAAACGUUAAACCCCCCUGUGAACCUGUUAGAAAAAGCCUGGUAAAAUCAUCGCCGAACAGUUUUCGAUUCAGGGAUGUCUGCAAGGAGCGUGCAUGUUGUGCGAGCAAGUGGCCUGGCAUCCCCAAGCAGUUAGUGUCUGAAAGUGUCAUUAACUGUGUAAGGAUGACGCAGUCACGAUCGUUGGAGGCCCACACGGCCGACGACCGGGUCACUGGGCGCAAGCCCCCCUAUAACAAACGCUGCUAAUCGCGGCCGCGAUAAUACGCAGUCGACCAAAAACCGAACAACUGUUAACAAUGGAUAUCUUGGUUCUC